CAGCGCCGCGGGAAUACGUAGGGUGCAAGCGUUAAUCGGAAUUACUGGGCGUAAAGCGUGCGCAGGCGGUUAUAUAAGACAGAUGUGAAAUCCCCGGGCUCAACCUGGGAACUGCAUUUGUGACUGUAUAGCUAGAGUACGGCAGAGGGGGAUGGAAUUCCGCGUGUAGCAGUGAAAUGCGUAGAUAUGCGGAGGAACACCGAUGGCGAAGGCAAUCCCCUGGGCCUGUACUGACGCUCAUGCACGAAAGCGUGGGGAGCAAACAGGAUUAGAUACCCCUGUAGUCCCUGUCUCUUAUACC
This 301-nucleotide ribosomal RNA is filed under the name uncultured bacterium. RNAcentral describes it as "partial 16S ribosomal RNA". It matches the Rfam family "Bacterial small subunit ribosomal RNA", at positions 509 to 808 of the family's 1533-position model. The record is from RNAcentral.